RNAcentral lists this ribosomal RNA (465 nucleotides) under uncultured bacterium. RNAcentral describes it as "bacterial SSU rRNA". It matches the Rfam family "Bacterial small subunit ribosomal RNA", at positions 330 to 793 of the family's 1533-position model. The record is from RNAcentral.
UCCAGACUCCUACGGGAGGCAGCAGUGAGGAAUAUUGGUCAAUGGACGAGGGUCUGAACCAGCCAAGUAGCGUGAAGGAUGACUGCCCUAUGGGUUGUAAACUUCUUUUAUAAAGGAAUAAAACGAGGCACGUGUGCCUUUUUGCAUGUACUUUAUGAAUAAGGAUCGGCUAACUCCGUGCCAGCAGCCGCGGUAAUACGGAGGAUCCGAGCGUUAUCCGGAUUUAUUGGGUUUAAAGGGUGCGCAGGCGGAGGUGCAAGUCAGCGGUCAAAUUGCGGGGCUCAACCCCGUACUGCCGUUGAAACUGCAUCCCUUGAGUGCGCGAGAAGUAUGCGGAAUGCGUGGUGUAGCGGUGAAAUGCAUAGAUAUCACGCAGAACUCCGAUUGCGAAGGCAGCAUACCGGCGCGCAACUGACGCUCAUGCACGAAAGCGUGGGUAUCGAACAGGAUUAGAUACCCUAGUAU